RNAcentral lists this ribosomal RNA (774 nucleotides) under uncultured Neocallimastigales. RNAcentral describes it as "partial large subunit ribosomal RNA". It matches the Rfam family "Eukaryotic large subunit ribosomal RNA", at positions 24 to 636 of the family's 3401-position model. Lineage: Eukaryota; Fungi; Neocallimastigomycota; Neocallimastigomycetes; Neocallimastigales. The record is from RNAcentral.
UAUGUGAUCGUCUCUCGCAUAUCAAUAAGCGGAGGAAAAGAAACUAGCAAGGAUUCCCCUAGUAAUGGCGAGUGUAGCGGGAAGAGCUCAAAUUUGAAAUCUUAAAGGGUUUCCCUUUACGAAUUGUAGUUUAAAGAAGUGUUUUCUGUUGAGGUUUUGGUAAAAGUUCUUUGGAAUAGGACAUCAUAGAGGGUGAGAAUCCCGUAUUUGACCUUUACUUUCAACUUUGUGAUACACUUUCAAAGAGUCGGAUUGUUUGGGAAUGCAGUCCAAAAUGGGUGGUAAAUUUCAUCUAAAGCUAAAUAUUGGCGAGAGACCGAUAGCGAACAAGUACCGUGAGGGAAAGAUGAAAAGAACUUUGGAAAGAGAGUUAAACAGUACGUGAAAUUGUCAAAAGGGAAGCGUUUGACACCAGUGUUGUUUUUCUGAAAAUCAAUUAAAGAACUGUUUAUGCUAAGUUGUUUAGACUUUAUCAGCUAACUGUUUAGUUUUGAGCUUUUCUUUAAUGCACUUUUCAGUUAACAAGUCAACAUCAAUUUCUUUUGCUGUAAAAAAGCUUGAGGAAGGUGGCUUGAGAUUCGUCUUAAGUGUUUAUAGCCUCUUGCCUAUGCAGUCGGAGAGAUUGAGGUCUGCAGCGUAGAUCCUUCGGGGCUAAAUGCAUUUGUGCUAAGUUAUAGCAUUUUAUAGACAACUUGUUGACUAUGAUUUGUCUUGUAGCUUACUCGCUUAUGUUAUUUUACCUACGCUUAGGAUGUUGAUAUGCAUGACUGAUAU